Long non-coding RNA from Salvia splendens (bonfire salvia), 1461 nucleotides. RefSeq lists it as uncharacterized. The transcript has 2 exons. The record is from RefSeq and is a predicted model, not a curated record. Lineage: Eukaryota; Viridiplantae; Streptophyta; Magnoliopsida; Lamiales; Lamiaceae.
AUAAAAUGUAUUAUGUAAAGUAUGAGUGAUCCCUUCCGCUUUCUCCCUCACUGGUUUUUCUCACAAAUUCCCAAAUCAAGAGGGAGGCUAAACCCUAGCCAAAUCAGCCAUCUCUUCUCGCCGUCUCACGGCGUUCCACCAUGUUUCGUCGCGGUCUGAACCCGCCGUCUCUUCUCUCUAUCGGAAUUCGAACAGGGCUCGUUGUCGCUUUGCGAGGUCUCUGCCUCAGCUGCUGCUCGGCGAGGCUCGGGCGCCGUCCUCGGCUAGGGGCCACCGUGCUACGGCCGUGAGCCAUUGCCGGCGCUCCCCCUUGAUCUCGCUGCAGCAGCAGCAUCAUCGUUGCCGUUGCCCCUGUCCGACCGCUUCUGUCGGGAUGUCUUCGACCAGCAGCUAAGUUCAAGAUUUCUGUCUUGGUUUUUCUUUUACCGUUAGUUAAGUUUUACUUAAAAGGUUAAAGGAGUUUAGGUGCUCUACAGCUCUCGUUAUGUCAUGCUUGGUUCCUUAAUGAAAAUUUGUGGUCAGAAAAUCUGUAACACAAGAAGCUUGCUGAUGUGUUGUUACUUAAUAUUUUAUGAUUCACAAGCUGAGCAAGGGAGAGGGGUUAGCUUAAGGAGUUGUUACUGAUCUGCUUUGGUGUUCAUGAUGUGUUGUUCUAUAUGAAAGAAAUGGUGUUAUAAGGAAGGGUGAGAUUACCUUCACUGCAAGGUAUUUUGCUGCUCUUUACUUCUAUUUUGAUCCACCUCACUCUUCAACUUGCUAUUUUGUUGAGGAAAUAAUGUUGUGUGGGAGGGAGUGGAACCGAGGGGCAUAGUGUGUAUAUAUGCUUAGUUUGUAACUAAAAGCUCUGUAAAGUUGUAACUGAAAGCUCUGAUGGCCCUGGGUUAUUUGCCUUCUCUGCAGAGUGCAGGGACGUAGCCACACACAAUGUGUCCUUGUUCUGUUACACACUGCAGUGGCCUUACUCUAUUAGCCUUUGGUGCAGCCUCUAAUUUGAGUUCUCUGUUGUUAACUUUCAGGUGCACAAGCAUUAGGCUAUGGCUGAGCUCUGUAUUCGCCGGCUGCUGCAGCGAAGGGAUUGGUUGGGCUGCCUCGGAGCAGCCUUAGGUACCGGCAGGAAGGGUAGAUUUCUGCGGCUGUUGCAGAUCCUGGCUACAUGAAUUUUUUACUUCUUUCGGGAAUGGGCUGCCUACACAUGGCUUAUGGCUCCAAACAUCUCAGCCUUUCGGCCUCUCUGAGUCUGGCCGAGACGGCUCGUUAAAGAGACCGAUGAAGCCUCCUAGGAACCCUUGGUUGUAAUAGAGUAGCUCGAUUUAAAAUUCUCUCAUUUUCUUUAUUUCAACAUGUAUGUAAAACUCAAUAAUAGUUGGUGUAUUUUAUUUCAAGCAUUUGUAAUUUAUUAGCUUGAAAUUUUAUGUAUUGUUUACUCAAGAGCACAAAUAAAUUCAUCUUUCUUUCUUUAAA